RNAcentral lists this ribosomal RNA (546 nucleotides) under uncultured bacterium. Its description in RNAcentral is "partial 16S ribosomal RNA". It matches the Rfam family "Bacterial small subunit ribosomal RNA", at positions 356 to 914 of the family's 1533-position model. The record is from RNAcentral.
UGGGAAUCUUAGACAAUGGGGGAACCCUGAUCUAGCCAUGCCGCGUGAGCGAUGAAGGCCUUAGGGUUGUAAAGCUCUUUCAGCUGGGAAGAUAAUGACGGUACCAGCAGAAGAAGCCCCGGNUAACUCCGUGCCAGCAGCCGCGGUAAUACGGAGGGGGCUAGCGUUGUUCGGAAUUACUGGGCGUAAAGCGCACGUAGGCGGAUUAGUCAGUCAGAGGUGAAAUCCCAGGGCUCAACCCUGGAACUGCCUUUGAUACUGCUAGUCUUGAGGCCGAGAGAGGUGAGUGGAAUUCCCGAGUGUAGAGGUGAAAUUCGUAGAUAUUCGGAGGAACACCAGUGGCGAAGGCGGCUCACUGGCUCGAUACUGACGCUGAGGUGCGAAAGCGUGGGGGAGCAAAACAGGAUUAGAUACCCUGGUAGUCCACGCCGUAAACGAUGAUGCCAGUCGUCGGGUUGCAUGCAAUUCGGUGACACACCUAAACGGAUUUAAAGCCAUUUCCGCCUGGGGAGUACGGUCGCAAGAUUAAAACUUAAAGGAAUUGAC